CUCGCCAAUCGUGGCCUGGGUAAAAGGAACCCUAGAGACCCCCGCGGCCGCCUCCCUCUUCUCGCGCUUCCUCCCCAAGCCCCACCUCGCCCCACGCCGCCCAUCUCCGCCUCCUCUCUCACGUCCUCCCUGCCGCCAUGGCCUAGCCCACCCUCGUCAUCGACCUCCCCAAGCCCCCCUCUCUCUCUCUCUCGGGGGUGCUGCUGAUCGCAAUCUGGACGAAGAAAAGGAGACCCCGGAAGAAGUUAGAGCGUCCUGGUGGUGGCUAGAUCGAUGCGGCCGACGGCGAGUGCCGGUGAGCGACGGGGAGGCCCCUACCUCUCCGCAUCUUCUCCCAGGUUCCCGAUCUGGAGCGGGUGGGACGGACGCCGGCGAGGCCAGCCCCCCCCCCCCUCACACGCAGCUGGAGCAUACUUGGUACAUGAGCCUUGCCGUGAGUGGUGGUGCAACGGUGACCUUGACGAGCAGGGCAAUGGCCAGACACGAGUAAGACACCAAAGAUGACUGGAAGCACUCAAAAAAGUUUACCACGCUGGAGCUAUGUCAGGUUGUACGAGGGCAGUUAAUGAAUAUACUUGCGACCCUUUUACUCUCAGGUAAAUCACUAAUUAUUACAUGAUCUUUCAUAGUUGAAGUACCUACCAAAGGUAGUUAUUUUAUCCUUCUAACACGAGCAAUGAACAUUUUUUGCCAUUAAUUAUGGUCACAUUAUUGCUUCUUGGUUAAAAAAAUUCAGUAGAGGGUUGUAGCUAUUUGGAGUGCAGAAUUAUUAAGUACAGAGCAAGGAUUCCAAUUGGUCAUACAUGAAGUGAUACUCUUGCAAGAGCUAUGCAAUUAAAGUUCAUUUAAUUACAGUUUCACCACACUAUGAAAAGGGUACAACCUACCAAUCUUGAGAGCAUUAAUGUAACAACUUUUUGUAGCUUAGAAAUCCAAUGGAAACUAAUAAGGUAAAUAUGCUUCUUUCUUGCAGACUUGCAGUUCUGUUUUAUUCAUUACCCUACUGCAAGCUCUUGGUCGUAUACUGUAUAUAAGUAAAUUGUCUUUGCUUCUUGGUCCAAGGGACAAAAUUGCUGAAUGAUUUUGGCAUCUCCUGAUUUUCCUUCUCCAUGGUUUGCCAUGUUCUUUGGUCUGAAUUUAGUUUCUUUUUCUUUGUCUAAAUUCUGUGCAAAUUCAUGGAACCCACACUGUUUGCAAGUUCGGUUUGCCUUUUUCCUUUAAAGAUUUGUACUGCUCUAUUUUUUUUUAAUUGUUGAGGCAACAAAAUACCCCUUAUGUCAUGUAUGCUUCUUUGAUAGCAGUUUAUUAAGUGCUUAUACCAUAAUAUCUCUGAUAUAAGUACUCUAAUUAUAAUAGUAGCAAUCUAAAUUUAUUAUUGGCUUGAAAAUAAAAUAUUUGUGAGGAUAGAAAGGAAAUAUCAGCUUCACUCUGCAUUUCUUAUAGAUGUACCUAGGAGAAAUGCAGAAUUAAGAAGAGCUAUUUUCAGAACACCACUAUCUAUAUCUCUAUAUAUAUGCGGAACUCAAAACUCUUUUUGAAGAUGGAUGGAUGAACUUGAUCCCUGUCCAUCUCUGCUUUUUGUCGGUACAUGAUUGUGCACCUCCUAUGCCUACUUAAUUGUGUGUUCAUUUUGUUAAUCAAGAAGCAUAUGAUUUUAUGGCUGGGUACGUUGAAAAUAUAUAAAACCUUUCUUCUUUUGGAUAAUCUGUUUCCCUUUCGCUAAUCUUUGUUACUUGCCUACACAUCUAUGCAUACUAUUCACUACUGCUACCAAUCCCAUGCUUGUUUGUUCAGAUACUUGAAUGGUGGAACAUGGCUUUUGUUCGAUGGCGAUUUUCCAUUCUUUGUAUGUGUUGCAUUCUUUUGUCCAAAAGUAGAGAUGUACUUUCUUCAAGAAGAAAAUGCUAAGUCUUUUACUAGCAAACAUGUCGAUCUUGCACAUUUAGCUCUCUACGCACAGUCUCACUAUCAUCUUGUGUAGUUUAUUUAUAGGGGUUGAAUACAGAAUUUUAGCCCUCCUAUUUUAGAGUAUGAAUCGGAAUCUAAAUCAGCAAUUGUAAAAAUGAUCAGUAAUUGUGCUUACUUUUCAGACUCUCCUCCUUUUCUCGCUGCUGAACCCCUGCCAUCAUCAUGUCCACUCCGCGCCCGCCCCGUGCUCGACGUGCACAUCCUGAGCCCCGCGCCCCCUUGGCUCUCUCCUCUCCCCCCUUGUCGCCAACCCUAAACAUUUUCCCUCUCCACCCUACAGCCGCCUCCCCUAGCUCCUCGUCCCCUUCACUCAGUCCAUCCCUCAUCAUCUCGGAUCCAGCGGAUCUGAGGCGUGCGGGUGCGGAGGCGAGUUUCUCCGGCGGCGGCGGCGGCGGUCACCUGCAGGCAAAGGGCGGUGGCCGCACUCGAUUUGAUCUGCAGGAAAGAUAGAACAUGAGGAGAGAGAAGGAAGGAAAGGUGGAACGCCACCAUGGGCGAGGAGGGGCAACAUGGUCUUCGUGGUGGGAAUGGAGGAGCAGAGGAGGAUGGAGGUGGGUGGUGGGAGCAGAGUAGCAGGAGUUCCAGGUCCAGGCGACGCUCGUGGAGUGGAGAAGCUCGUCGUCCAGCAUCACCAUCCCCAAUCUAGAUCUGAGAUAGAAAAGAAGAGAAAUAAUCUUGUGGAAUUUCUUAUCUGAGAUAGAAAAGAAGAGAAAGAUCUUGUGGAAGAGUUUGACGAAAAAGAAAGGGAUCUGAGAUAGAAAAGAAGAGAAAUAAUCUUGUGGAAUUUCAUAUCUGAGAAAAGAAGAGAAAGAUUCUUGUGGAAGAGCAGCUUGACAAAAAAGAAAGGGGCGGCACAACUGUACACCACCAUGAACAGGUUGUUUCAUCGCUACAACUCAUAUAGCAAGCUAUGCCAGUAUGGCAAUAUCUGAUAGUACGGCUGCUCACGUUUCCAGGGGCAACACUCACAUUUACCCUCCAAAAUUCAACAUUUUCAUAUUUUGAGGAGCUUCAGUACGUUUGCUCACCGAUGAACUAGAAGUUGUUUUGUGUACUGCAUGAUUGAGGAAGUGCUAUUGCAGAUCAAAGUUGGUAGAAGCAUCUGCUGGGAAUCAAGUGUUACAUGGUUGUGGUUGACAAGGUUAGUGGUUUAGGAGUUCCUGCCAACACUGGCUUUUGGAAUUUAUCCUCGCUUCAUCAGUUGGGAUUUCUGUACAAAACUAAGAUAAUUUAUUUUGGUGCUUGCGAUGAGUAUUAGAUAGAGGGGUGAUGCACACAUACUUCACCCAGUGUAUCUGUUCAUGUAUGUUGUUAAUUGACUAAUUAGACAAAAAACCUCUAUCUGUAUGGUGUUUGUGAUGAUGCUAUCAAUUCACCAAACACUAAAAUACCGGGUUGUGCUUUUCAAAUCUAGCAAAUUAAUUCUCUA
This is a long non-coding RNA of Triticum aestivum (bread wheat), 3397 nucleotides long. RefSeq lists it as uncharacterized. Lineage: Eukaryota; Viridiplantae; Streptophyta; Magnoliopsida; Poales; Poaceae. The record is from RefSeq and is a predicted model, not a curated record. The transcript is spliced from 8 exons.